Molecule: ribosomal RNA, 253 nt
Filed under: uncultured bacterium
Lineage: Bacteria
Description: partial 16S ribosomal RNA
Rfam family: Bacterial small subunit ribosomal RNA
Source: RNAcentral
GACGAACCGUGCGAACGUUGUUCGGAAUCACUGGGCUUAAAGGGCGCGUAGGCGGCUUGCCAAGUCGGGGGUGAAAUCCGGCAGCUUAACUGUCGAAGUGCCUUCGAUACUGGCAAGCUAGAGGGAGGUAGGGGUCUGUGGAACUUCUGGUGGAGCGGUGAAAUGCGUUGAUAUCAGAAGGAACGCCGGUGGCGAAAGCGACGGACUGGAUCUCUUCUGACGCUGAGGCGCGAAAGCUAGGGGAGCAAACGGG